GACGAACGCUGGCGGCGUGCUUAACACAUGCAAGUCGAACGGACCCUUUGGGGUUAGUGGCGAACGGGUGAGUAACACGUGGGUGAUCUGCCCUGCACUUUGGGAUAAGCCUGGGAAACUGGGUCUAAUACCGGAUAGGACUACGCACUGCAUGGUGUGUGGUGGAAAGCUUUUGCGGUGUGGGAUGGGCCCGCGGCCUAUCAGCUUGUUGGUGGGGUGAUGGCCUACCAAGGCGACGACGGGUAGCCGGCCUGAGAGGGUGACCGGCCACACUGGGACUGAGAUACGGCCCAGACUCCUACGGGAGGCAGCAGUGGGGAAUAUUGCACAAUGGGCGCAAGCCUGAUGCAGCGACGCCGCGUGAGGGAUGACGGCCUUCGGGUUGUAAACCUCUUUCGCCAGGGACGAAGCGCAAGUGACGGUACCUGGAGAAGAAGGACCGGCCAACUACGUGCCAGCAGCCGCGGUAAUACGUAGGGUCCGAGCGUUGUCCGGAAUUACUGGGCGUAAAGAGCUCGUAGGUGGUUUGUCGCGUUGUUCUUGAAAACUCACAGCUUAACUGUGGGCGUGCGGGCGAUACGGGCAGACUGGAGUACUGCAGGGGAGACUGGAAUUCCUGGUGUAGCGGUGGAAUGCGCAGAUAUCAGGAGGAACACCGGUGGCGAAGGCGGGUCUCUGGGCAGUAACUGACGCUGAGGAGCGAAAGCGUGGGGAGCGAACAGGAUUAGAUACCCUGGUAGUCCACGCCGUAAACGGUGGGUACUAGGUGUGGGUUUCCUUCCUUGGGAUCCGUGCCGUAGCUAACGCAUUAAGUACCCCGCCUGGGGAGUACGGCCGCAAGGCUAAAACUCAAAGGAAUUGACGGGGGCCCGCACAAGCGGCGGAGCAUGUGGAUUAAUUCGAUGCAACGCGAAGAACCUUACCUGGGUUUGACAUGCACAGGACGCCGGCAGAGAUGUCGGUUCCCUUGUGGCCUGUGUGCAGGUGGUGCAUGGCUGUCGUCAGCUCGUGUCGUGAGAUGUUGGGUUAAGUCCCGCAACGAGCGCAACCCUUGUCUCAUGUUGCCAGCACGUUAUGGUGGGGACUCGUGAGAGACUGCCGGGGUCAACUCGGAGGAAGGUGGGGAUGACGUCAAGUCAUCAUGCCCCUUAUGUCCAGGGCUUCACACAUGCUACAAUGGCCGGUACAAAGGGCUGCGAUGCCGUGAGGUGGAGCGAAUCCUUUCAAAGCCGGUCUCAGUUCGGAUCGGGGUCUGCAACUCGACCCCGUGAAGUCGGAGUCGCUAGUAAUCGCAGAUCAGCAACGCUGCGGUGAAUACGUUCCCGGGCCU
Molecule: ribosomal RNA, 1330 nt
Filed under: uncultured bacterium
Lineage: Bacteria
Description: bacterial SSU rRNA
Rfam family: Bacterial small subunit ribosomal RNA
Source: RNAcentral